AAUUGCUACCACACCACCCUGUAUAUUCCAGAUCUUGUCUAGUUUCAGAAGACACGCAGGGUCAGGCUUGCUUAGUACUUCGCUGGGAGACCAGAAACAUCAGGGACCUGCAGGCA
Molecule: ribosomal RNA, 116 nt
Filed under: Pogona vitticeps (central bearded dragon)
Lineage: Eukaryota; Metazoa; Chordata; Lepidosauria; Squamata; Agamidae
Source: RNAcentral